Molecule: ribosomal RNA, 801 nt
Filed under: uncultured Flavobacteriales bacterium
Lineage: Bacteria; Pseudomonadati; Bacteroidota; Flavobacteriia; Flavobacteriales
Description: bacterial SSU rRNA
Rfam family: Bacterial small subunit ribosomal RNA
Source: RNAcentral
AGGUCUGUAGCAAUACAGAUGCUGGCGACCGGCAAACGGGUGCGGAACACGUACACAACCUUCCUUUAAGUGGGGAAUAGCCCGGGGAAACCCGGAUUAAUACCCCGUAACAUAUAGAAGUGGCAUCGCUUUUAUAUUAUAGCAGCAAUGCGCUUGAAGAUGGGUGUGCGGCUGAUUAGAUAGUUGGCGGGGUAACGGCCCACCAAGUCGACGAUCAGUAACUGGUGUGAGAGCACGACCAGUCACACGGGCACUGAGACACGGGCCCGACUCCUACGGGAGGCAGCAGUAAGGAAUAUUGGUCAAUGGACGCAAGUCUGAACCAGCCACGCCGCGUGGAGGAUGAAGGUCCUCUGGAUUGUAAACUUCUUUUAUUUGGGAAGAAAUCUAUCUUUUCUUGGAUAGUUGACGGUACCAGAUGAAUAAGCACCGGCUAACUCCGUGCCAGCAGCCGCGGUAAUACGGAGGGUGCAAGCGUUAUCCGGAUUCACUGGGUUUAAAGGGUGCGUAGGUGGGCAAGUAAGUCAGUGGUGAAAUCUCCGGGCUUAACCCGGAAACUGCCAUUGAUACUAUUUGUCUUGAAUACUGUGGAGGUCAGCGGAAUAUGUCAUGUAGCGGUGAAAUGCUUAGAUAUGACAUAGAACACCAAUUGCGAAGGCAGCUGGCUACACAAAUAUUGACACUGAGGCACGAAAGCGUGGGGAUCAAACAGGAUUAGAUACCCUGGUAGUCCACGCCCUAAACUAUGGAUACUCGACAUUUGCGAUAAACUGCAAGUGUCUGAGCGAAAGCAUUAAGUAU